This 54-nucleotide transfer RNA is filed under the name Galba truncatula. RNAcentral describes it as "tRNA-Leu". The record is from RNAcentral. Lineage: Eukaryota; Metazoa; Mollusca; Gastropoda; Lymnaeidae.
AAGAUGGCAGACUUAAUGCGUAGAUUUUAAGCGUCUACAAUGAUAAUAUCUCUU